RNAcentral lists this ribosomal RNA (464 nucleotides) under Vreelandella stevensii. RNAcentral's name for it is "partial 16S ribosomal RNA". It matches the Rfam family "Bacterial small subunit ribosomal RNA", at positions 338 to 795 of the family's 1533-position model. Lineage: Bacteria; Pseudomonadati; Pseudomonadota; Gammaproteobacteria; Oceanospirillales; Halomonadaceae. The record is from RNAcentral.
CCUACGGGCGGCUGCAGUGGGGAAUAUUGGACAAUGGGGGCAACCCUGAUCCAGCCAUGCCGCGUGUGUGAAGAAGGCCCUCGGGUUGUAAAGCACUUUCAGUGAGGAAGAACGCCUGGUGGUUAAUACCCAUCAGGAAAGACAUCACUCACAGAAGAAGCACCGGCUAACUCCGUGCCAGCAGCCGCGGUAAUACGGAGGGUGCGAGCGUUAAUCGGAAUUACUGGGCGUAAAGCGCGCGUAGGUGGCUUGAUAAGCCGGUUGUGAAAGCCCCGGGCUCAACCUGGGAACGGCAUCCGGAACUGUCAAGCUAGAGUGCAGGAGAGGACGGUAGAAUUCCCGGUGUAGCGGUGAAAUGCGUAGAGAUCGGGAGGAAUACCAGUGGCGAAGGCGGCCUUCUGGACUGACACUGACACUGAGGUGCGAAAGCGUGGGUAGCAAACAGGAUUAGAUACCCGGUAGUC